UACGUAGGGUGCAAGCGUUAAUCGGAAUUACUGGGCGUAAAGCGUGCGCAGGCGGUUUCGUAAGACAGAUGUGAAAGCCCCGGGCUCAACCUGGGAAGUGCAUUUGUGACUGCGAGACUAGAGUGUGUCAGAGGGAGGUAGAAUUCCACGUGUAGCAGUGAAAUGCGUAGAGAUGUGGAGGAAUACCGAUGGCGAAGGCAGCCUCCUGGGAUAACACUGACGCUCAUGCACGAAAGCGUGGGGAGCAAACAGGAUUAGAAACCCUAGUAGUCC
This 273-nucleotide ribosomal RNA is filed under the name uncultured prokaryote. RNAcentral describes it as "partial 16S ribosomal RNA". It matches the Rfam family "Bacterial small subunit ribosomal RNA", at positions 524 to 796 of the family's 1533-position model. The record is from RNAcentral.